AUGGGGAAGAGAAAGGCGGCUGCUAAGCCACCACCUAGGAAGAGGAUGGACAAGCUCGAUACCGUCUUCUCCUGCCCAUUCUGCAACCAUGGGAGCAGCGUUGAGUGCCGGAUUGAUUUGAAGAAUCUGAUUGGUGAGGCUAACUGUCAAAUCUGCCAGGAAAGCUUCAGCACCACUGCAAAUGCGCUGACUGAACCUAUUGAUGUAUACAGCGAAUGGAUCGAUGAGUGCGAGCGCGUCAACACUGUUGAAGAUGAUGAUGGUGCAUGA
Molecule: ribosomal RNA, 270 nt
Filed under: Triticum aestivum (bread wheat)
Lineage: Eukaryota; Viridiplantae; Streptophyta; Magnoliopsida; Poales; Poaceae
Description: partial small subunit ribosomal RNA
Source: RNAcentral